Glycine soja is the source of this 1426-nucleotide RNA transcript. RefSeq lists it as uncharacterized. The record is from RefSeq and is a predicted model, not a curated record. The transcript is spliced from 2 exons. Lineage: Eukaryota; Viridiplantae; Streptophyta; Magnoliopsida; Fabales; Fabaceae.
AAGUGAGUUGAGUGGAUGCCUCCUAGUGAGAAUAGAUAGGGUUACAUUUGGAAUUAAAUAGAAGAUGGCAGGGUGGCAAUGGCAGCAAGUGUUACUUACCUAUUUAUAGCUGAAGCGGAGAGUGGAGAUCCCUCUUCCUCUUGUGUCAAAAACCAAUAAUCUCUGAUCUGAGUUCCUGACAUGUCCAUCGAGCUAGAUUCUGAAUCCAUUCCCACACCCACGGCCCAAGCCCAAGACCGAUCCAACUCCCGCUGCGCACUGCUAUUUUCCUACAGCUGCCUCGGCCCACGGCGUCGUUCCUCAUGGUGGGAGCGUGUCCGCUCCCACUCCCACUCCACUCCAGCCUCAACCGGUGACCGGUGGUGGUCGCGUGGGCUCAGGGCGCUGAAGAAGCUUCGCGAGUGGUCGGAGAUCGUAGCGGGGCCCAAGUGGAAGACCUUCAUCCGUAGGUUCAACCGCAACCGCCCCAACAAACGCAUACCCACAUACCAGUAUGACCCCUUCAGUUACGCCCUCAACUUUGACGAGGGGCCUAAUGGGGAUUUCAACGACGACGACGAUGCAGCGCUUCGUAAUUUCUCCACGCGCUACGCUGCCGCGAACAACGUGAAAUCGCUUUCCCCCAAGGCACGUGACACCGACGACGCUGUUUUGGUGUGAGUGUUUCUCUGGUUCCGAAAGGGGCAGGAGUGGGUGCCCCUUGGCGUCAAUUUUUAUUAUUUCUUUUCAUAAUUAUAGUAUAUACAAAUCCAUAUCAAUCCCGAUGGGAACGGUUGUUAUUGUGUAUAUACACACCUUUUUUUACUACUAGCAUUAUUGUAUGAUAAUGAACUCAUUGUUUUUUAUGGCUUCCAAUUCCCGAUUUCCUCUUUCAUAUCAUAAUUGUUAGUAGUAGUAAUUAUUAUAAUGUGUAAGGAUGGGCCUGGGCCUGGGCCCGGGCCUGGUGGGGCUUUGCAAUCAAUAAAUGAGGCUUCCACGAAAUGAAUCGACUUGGGAUUUUUCUUUGUUUGAUGUGUCGUCUUCUUCACCCUUAAAAAUUGUCAUUUUCAUUUCAUGAAUGAUAGUGCCGUGGGAUCAAAGUAGAACAUCUAGUAGUGGCUUGCUUCUUCGAUCUAUUUGCGUCACAACUCACAACUGUGUAGUGUACGAGUUACCGAUAUAGACAAGUAGGAGAAAGCGCUCUUAUCCUUGGAUUGAUAAGAAAUGAAAACGAGGAGCCUCCCUGCCAAAAGAGUUAGACUUUGUCACUAUUUGGUGGUUGGAAUGAUACUAGUAGAGAUGAGGUAAGAUAUUAAAAUUUAAAAUGGUUGUUCCCAUUUUCGCAUAAAAAUCAUGUAUUUAAAUCCAUAUUCAUGUGGAUGACAACUUUAACACUUACAAGUUAUUUUUGUUUAUACUUGGAUCACUUAUCUACAUAAUGCAUCUA